AUAGGACACUCACUCUGGGCCUCAAUUUGCUCCUCUGUAGAAUGCACAGUUAAAAUCCUACGGUAGUCCUCAGCUGUCAACAGCUUUUCACAGCCCUCCUAGUAAACCAGGCUGCUGUGGGUCCUACGGGAAGACAGCAGAGCCUGGGAAGAUGCGGAGUGUCUGCAUGGGCAGGGCCCUGGCCACAGAGACUGGGACUUGGGACCUGGUUACCAACUCCAGAGGCCUGAGUCACAGGGGACGUGACACUUAGCCCAUUGCUGCUGGGAGUUCAGCCAUCUCCCUUUCAGGGUCGCUUGGCGCAGAUUCCAUGUUGCACACUGUGUCUAUGUUAGGCGUGCUUUCCCCAGAAGACACAUGUAAAUGCACAGACUUGAAUGGUUAACAAUGCCCUCUGGAGUUGUGCAAAGGGACAUCCGUACUACCACCAACACAGGAAUAUAAACUUCAAAAGUAGAAGAGAGUGACUGCUCGGUGAGCUCAGGGUCUCCUUUGGGAUGAUCAAGAUAUUGUAGAAUGGACGGAGGUGGUGAGGGCACAGCAUGUGCACACAUUAAAUGCCAGUGACUUGUGCACUUUAAAAAGUUUCAUUUUAUAUUUGAAUUUCAUCUCAAUAAAAAAAAAUUUUUUUUAAGUUUUUUUAAGGCACUCGAAAGGAAAGUACAAAUUGCUUUAAAAGAUUUCCCACAAGUCAGCCCUCUCUGACAAUGUGUGCGUUUCCCACAAUGCACCUCUCUCCCCAGCUUCCUGGGGUUGCCGACUGUACUCCAACUGAAAGAAUUAGGUUAUCUUGGAAGCCCCGCUGCUAGACCUGAGCAAAGGAAGAAGGGAAAUAUUCGGAUACAUCCAACACUUUUGGCAGCACUUGUCAGAAAUGGGAUAGAAAGGUAGCAAGCAGUUCUUCUGAAGGCCUACCCCAAAGUCCACCAGAUCAUGAAAAUCCAAAUGUAGGCCUGCGGUUCUCAGAGAAUCCACCUUCUUGCUUUAUCCAUUAAUUCAUUUGUUCAUCCAAGGAGUAUUCACUGAGCCUCUACUAUGUGCUUUACACUGAAAGUUGAGUAGAACAGGGAUUUCCCUGAUGGUCCAAGUGGCUAAGGCUCUGCUGUCCCAUAGAGGGGGGUACAGGUUAGAUCCCUGUUC
Molecule: long non-coding RNA, 1140 nt
Organism: Bos taurus (domestic cattle)
Lineage: Eukaryota; Metazoa; Chordata; Mammalia; Artiodactyla; Bovidae
Source: Ensembl